AAAUAAUAAUUUAAUAAUAAAUAAUAAACUGUGUGAUUUGGCGCUUUUGUGCUGACACGUGACAACCGACUCCCUUGUUGUUUUCACACGUCAAACGCAAACUACGAAAAAAUUACCUCAGAAAUCCACAAACGAAUGAAAUAACACUACAAGACAUCACUUGAGAGAUGGAGUGUUGCAUACGACGCGUAAAGUUUCACCUUGUAUAGCUCAGUGGUGGAUCAUCGCAGCCCAAAAGAAAGCAGUUGAGACCCUUGAACUUCUCCCGAAAAG
This is a long non-coding RNA of Misgurnus anguillicaudatus (oriental weatherfish), 273 nucleotides long. RefSeq lists it as uncharacterized. Lineage: Eukaryota; Metazoa; Chordata; Actinopteri; Cypriniformes; Cobitidae. The record is from RefSeq and is a predicted model, not a curated record.